CCCACCGCUGCCGCUGCUCCCUGCCUGCAGGGCUGCACAGCUCGCACAAAGGCUCCAAAGAAUCUUGGAGUGACCAUUUGGAUUGCCAAAACAGUGCAAUAAGGCGCUAACUGAGGGAAAAGGCAAGCGCUGGUUCAUCCCAUAUGCACUUAUGGAGAGCUGCGUGUCGUCUGUCCCCUCAACUGGGAGAAGAAAACUGAAUGGCUGAAGGUUUAGCACAGAAAAAAAAAAGCCAAAAAGCCAAAGGUGGAGAGGAAAGGACCAAAAAAGCAGAUUACAGUUUUGGAGUCAUCAGUAGGAGAGAACCCAGCAAACUGACAGACCUGAAAUCAUGUCCUUUGAUUGUAAUUGACAGGGAAAGCGUUUAAGGGAAGACCAUGUUAAGGGGUGGAUUUUAUACUUUGAUCUGAAGAAGCUGGGAUUCCCAGAAGACCUCAUCUCUUUGAGGAUGGAGACACGUUGUGGAUGCUUGUCAUGAUGUGUAUGAAAAGAAGUUAAGUUGGAACAAGGAGGAAAAAGAAGUAUUUUGGGUUUUCAUGAGAAAAAUGAUUUGGAGCACUACCUGCAAGUGCUCUCAGAGGCCGCUUGAAGAAAGAAGAAAGGAUUGGGGUAAAGAUUUUCAUGGAGAUUUUUAUUUUCACAUGAUCAAUCGUCCAACUGAAGCAAUGCAUGGUACAGAGGUGUGGGAAACAUGGCAUGCAACCUUACAUAGACUAAGAUAAGUUUCCAUAUUUGUUAAAUUUGUUAAGCUUGUUAUGUUUGUUAAUUUUUUACAAAUACACUCAAUUUUAAAAAUUAUUGGUUUGUAAAUAAUUUUUAAUCAGAAAUCAGAAUAUGGAAUCAGACUGAAUCUUUUGAAAAACAUUAUCUGUUGUAACCAGCACGUUCAACUGCAGUCAUAAUUCAUGUCAUUCAACUGCUGCAACUUAUUCUUCUAGUUUUUCUAGCAUAUGGAUUUAACCCCUAUGCGUAAGUUUUCACAAUCAGUCAAGGUUAAAUUCAUCUUUGAUGUAAAACAGUUUUUUCAAUGAAGUGUUAAAAUUUGCUAGAUCUUUAAUGUGAUUAAUUAUGAAAUCUGAAGUUUUGAUAAUUUUUUCAUCAUCAGCACUGAUCUAAAAGUAGGGUUUUUUUAAGUCUCCAUCUCUGAAUACUUUGGCCUUACAUUUUCUUUUGAAAUAUUUCAUUUAAUGCACACAAUGUCUUGAAGGCUGCUGUCUUAUUCUCUACAUGGCUGAAGAAUUUUCAGGUUUGCUGAACUUAAAAUCAAACUUGUGCUGUACCAUGACACUGAUUUAUCUUAUUUUGUCUGGCUUGGCAUCUCACAUCAGAUCUGUACUUUAGGAAAAGAGACACAUAACACAACUUAAAGUUUGCUUCAAUCAAAGUAUGAAUUUCUGCAGUGAUGGCUUUGGAACACUUCUAGUUACUCUGUUUUUAUUUCAGUACUUUGAUAAAUAGUGCCAUAACUCUUCCUUCUUUUACUUCAUCUGAAUUUGUGCAUCAAAAAUGAUCUCAAAUGAUAAGGUCUCUCAGGCAGAUAAACCCAGCCCUUCCAAUCUAGGAAUAAAAAUCUUUUUUGCCUUUUAAGGUUUGUUUUUUCUAAAAUUAAAAUGGUCUCAAGUUGUGGUCUGGGGUUGCCUAGAUAUUUACUGCCCAUGUGUAUCCGUGUAGCUUGUUCACAUAACCAAAAUAGUUAUUUUUGUCUUCACAAAUAGAGCUCAUAAAAAUACCUAUUUGUGAAGUCAGGCCUUUUUAUAAGUGAACUAAUGAGUUAUUCUCAUCAAGUAACAAUUUACUGCAGUUAGGCGGAUUGGAAAGGAGAUAGAGCGGGUAAGGAAAUGACAGCAGAAGGUUCUAUUAUGUAGUUUUAACUUUCCAGAAGACUGCCAAGAUAGAUGGACAGGAAAAUGGGGGAGAAAGGAAGAGAGAACUGAAGGCAGAGAAAAGCUAAUGAGAACCAGUGUUAAAGAAAUAGUAGUACCCUGGUGUCAGUGAGGGAACACUUUGGAGCUCCACUGAGGGCAGUCACCUGUAAAACUCCCAGCAGGGACAGACCCAGGGAGAUGGGUUAUUGGGCUGUUAGCACUGAGCAUAAAAGUCCCACAGGACAACUCUGCUCAUGCUCAUAUCCUUGUACCCCCUGGGCUCAUUUCAGCUAACUGGUGGUAUUUGAUUAACAACAGAGAAACAGGACAGAAAGAGUCCAACAUUUAAACAGAAAUUUUGCCCUUUAUCUUGGUAUAAGUUAGUGGUUUAUAAAUGGAUGUCUUUGACUUUUCUGCAACUUGUUCCAUGUGGGAAAGAAUAAUGGCUGAACAGAAUUUUCUUUUUUAUAUGAAGAAAAUGAUCAGGAAAGUUGAACAUAAUGAUUUCAUGCCGUGACUAUAAUGCAAACACAUACUUAACCGUCAUUGUCUCCUCUUCAUAUAAUAACUGAAAACAUCUGUAUUGUGCACUGAAACAUUAUACGCUGCAUUACAAUUAGAAAUGUGCUGAAGUGUUGGAUUGGGUGUUUAUUUAUGGGCCAUGAAAAGUAAGAUUUUCUGCGCUUCUCAUGUACAGCUAAAUAGCCAUAGGUAGAGUACUGAAAAUUUUGGAACCCAGCAGUCACUGUGGGAAUGACUUCAUUAUUCACCGAAGGAGGUUUUUCCAGCAGAGCUGAGUUGCUGACAAACAAUAAUAAACAUUACUGAAAGUUGGAAACAAGAACUCAGGCAUGUUGAUUCUGACUGUAAAAAAUGCUCACGGGGCGUGGAGGGCAAGGCGCUCUCAAAAUGACAAGGUACUACAAUAGAGGGAUCCCAUUAGAGCUAUGCACAUACAUUUCCUCUAUUGACACAGAAGUGUUCUGACAGGCUCAGCAAACAAGCAGCUUCUCCUAGCUGCCUAGCCUUUACCUGUUGCCACAAGUAGUCUAGAAACAGAAAUGUAUUUUUAAUGGGCACACAAAUGUUUCAAUGAUGAAAUAUGCUCUGGUGGGGACAAAGCAAAUGUCUUCUUGGUGUAGCUUCUGAGAGCUUUUUUAGCAUAAAAGACAUCACUAUGUCUUUUGCUGAAGCACUUGACAGUUCAUGACCAUAGCACAAAAUAUUAUUUGAGAUUAAUUAUGUAAUAUUUGCUUUGUCUGACUGGUAUUUUACUGGUAUUUGAAACGAAAUGAUUGCUUAAAAAAGCUCACUCCACACUUAAUUAAUUUUGUAAAUAUCUACUAAGUGUCUUCCAACCUAAGCAGAUACAAAAUGCUCAGUAUAGUUUUCUCUGGAGCUUUGUUUUUUCUCUCUCCUCUGACUCCGGCUCAAAGUUUAAAGCGUAAAGUCCUGGCCUGUGCUUGUGAUGGUGGUGUUCACAAAGAAGGACACAAAGAGUUUAUGGAGCCAGUUUCUCACUGAGCAGCAGAACAAGGAAAACCUAUGCCAGCUGGGGAUUUAGGCUGUCAUUGUUACAUUAUCCUUUCAAAUGUAUUUACAAGAAGGAAUGAAUUUUACCGAUUGAGGCCUGAACUAAAUGUAAUUUAAUUCAUGGCUGGAGCAAUUUGAAUGGCUCACAUUUUCUCUGGCCAUUGAAUAUGUCAGUUAUUUACUGUCUCAGGUUUGAGUGCCUUUGGCUCUGCCAGAAAUUGUUGGUUGACUUUCAAAGUGGAUCCAGAUUUCUCUCAGAGAGGUCAACAGACAUGCAGGACUUCUGGAAGUGGCCCAGUUAAACAUGCAUCAUUUGCACUGAUUUUCCACAUGAUUAUCUCAAAUAGCCAUGGAAAGGCACAGUUAUCAAUCAAGAGGCUGAAGGAUUCAGGUCUGUACAAUAGAGAAAGCUGAAGACAGGAAGAGAAAGCUCAUUUUUCUUUGCUUUCCCAGUGUUUACUGGGAUCAUAGUUAUGAUGGCAAACUGAGUGUAGCUGUGAAGUAAGGCUGAUUCUGUCCUUCUUUAUAAUGAGAAACCAAAGGGUUUUCAGCCUGUAAUGCUGGAUUUUUUUGAACACAAGGUAGAAGAAAUUAAUUUUAUACCAGAGGAAUUCAGAUCAGCUGUCUGAAGUUAAAAUAACAAUUGUUAAAACAACUUAACAGUUGAAAAACUGUUGUUUGCCACUACUUUAGUGAGCUGUCCUCUUCCUCACUGCUCCCUAAGAUAAUGCUGAAAAGAUGAUCCAGAACAGUAAAUACACUGAAACUGGAUGGCAAACAUGUGAUCAUCCUUCAUAAUUUGUGCUCUCAUCUCAUGCUGAUGGCUGGUUUGAACUAGAAGAGGUGGCAGAAGCAUUUUUUUUCCCAAAAUAUGUUGCUCAUGUUUGUUAUCACUUACCUACAUGUAAUGAAGAAAGUAAGCCAGACUGCAGAGCCUUAGCAGUAGAUGAAGACCUGAAGGGACCUUCCUUCUCUAUUCUGGAUAGUCUGGAAAACAAGUCCCAGGCUGAAGUGCAGACUUGCAUGAUUCUAAUAUCAAUGCCUCGCUAACAGUACAGCCCUACAGCUUCAGGAGACUCAUUACUGCUAAUAAAUCUGUUAUAACUGGCUCAUAUUCCAUCCAGACACACCAUGGUUGUUCUCUGGAAGCCACUCUGUAGUAAAUGUGGGAGUGGUGGAAGCUCCUUGUCCUUCCAGGGGGAAGCUCCUUUCCUGUGGUCACUUAAAAUAUUGGGAGUUCUGUAGAAAAGUGAGAAGAUGAAUACACAUUUUCUCAAAGACAAUGCUGAGUGAUGUUUCUGUCUGCUGUUCUUCCUGCCAGGACUUCAGAGAAGAUCCAACAGACUGAUGGGAGCAGCAGUUCCUCUAAACAUACUUCCUUUCUUGCAGAUGCCUACCUAGAUCCCUACUUAUAAUGGUAUAUAUAUCUGUCAAGCUCAGGUCUGCCUUCAAUGGACUCCUUUUUUGUCCCCUUUUCACAGCAGGGAAAAACUCCAGCUUCCUGAUUGUUCAACAAGGAAGGUGUAGGUAAAUUGCUGAAAAUUGACCUGGAAGUUACAGGUUUACUCUAUCUUUAGUGAUUUAGUGUUUGAGAUAUUUAAUAAUAUCUUGAAAACUUCAACUAGAGCUGAAAAAUGGAAUUUUCAUGUCAGUAAAGGAUUACACUGAUUUAGCUGAGCCUGAUUUAUGUGAGAGGCACAAAAGUUAAAGAUGUCAUCAUUACAGUUUUUGUCACUCUGUGAGAAACAUCCUUCUUUUUCCCAUUACUGGAGAGAAUCAAGGGGUUAUUUGGCUCUCCAGAAUAUUAUUAUACAAAACAUAAAAGUAGAUUCUGAUCAUGUAUAUUCAACCCAUGUAUUCACAGGAACCAGAUUGUACAAACCCCAUAGCUUAAUUGGUAGUCUUAAUUAUCUAGUUCACAUCAGUCUAAUUUAUGUAACAAAACCAAGCUGCUCCAUAAUUCCCUGCUAGUAUGGGAUAGAAUAACUCCAUCAAACUCAACAGACCUACGUCAGCAUAUGCCAGUAGGGAAUUUAGCCUUCAUAUUCCAAGGAGCAAUAUGGCACAUGAUUCACUUUGGUCACAUUUUUCCCAAGGUCUUAUGUAAAAUAAAUUUAUUUUUAGUUCAGAAGAGAAAUGUUUGUACAGACAAAAUUGCAUGUUUGUACAGACAUUCCUAGAGAUCCAGAAAUUAUCUUUUUGUCUUCAAGAAGUAAAAUAAAAACCAAACAUCCUCAAAAGAGAAAACAAAAGGGCAAUUGCUGGGCUUGAUCCGGCAUCAUAUUGGAUGCUUUUGUGUUGAUGCAGCUGUUCCAGUGUCUUCAGCUACUGGUGAUGGACCAGAAUGAAGUAAAAGUCAGUGGGCAAAUUUUGGUUAUUCUAAAAUCUCAUUUUAGUGUAUGGAAAGAAAAUUUCAAAGACAACAAAUUCAGAGAAGCUGGUUAAGACAGAUUUUUAUGUAAGACUUUUAACACUGAAGUUGUUCAGUUUUGUGUUAAAUUGAGGGAGCUCCUUGGCAGGUUUUGGAAAAAGCUUUCAUUGAUCCAGUGAACUGAAGAUCUACAGAACAAACAGUUAAGAAACAUUAAAGAUUUGGAUUAUUGCUUGUCACUUUUUUUUUUUUGAGGAGGCUUUGGAAUUUCUGUGAAAGAUUAUGAGCUAUAAAUUAGUUCACACAAAAGUAUUCCUGAAACUUCUGUGUCAGGUUCUCAGAAAGUGCUCAAGACCAUGAUAUUUUUGAAGUAAUUAUUAUUGAUGCAGCUAAUGAUCCUGAAAUGAAAAACUGUCAAUAGUGAAAGGCAAGUUUGCAAGAGAAAUAUCCAUAUAAUUUCAAGAUCAGACUGUACAAAAACAUUUAAAAAUAUAUAUCCAUGGUUUUCUCCCUCUAGCUUGAUGUGAAGAUUCAAUUCUAAUUUUGUUUUGUCUUAAAGUUCAUGCUUUAAAAGUAAGGAGUUUUUGAUAAAUAAAUUUCAAGGGAAAUA
Non-coding RNA from Cyanistes caeruleus (blue tit), 6379 nucleotides. NCBI's taxonomy places the organism in Eukaryota, Metazoa, Chordata, Aves, Passeriformes, Paridae. The record is from RefSeq and is a predicted model, not a curated record.